GAUGAACGCUGGCGGCGUGCCUAAUACAUGCAAGUCGAGCGAACAGACGAGGAGCUUGCUCCUCUGACGUUAGCGGCGGACGGGUGAGUAACACGUGGAUAACCUACCUAUAAGACUGGGAUAACUUCGGGAAACCGGAGCUAAUACCGGAUAAUAUAUUGAACCGCAUGGUUCAAUAGUGAAAGACGGUUUUGCUGUCACUUAUAGAUGGAUCCGCGCCGCAUUAGCUAGUUGGUAAGGUAACGGCUUACCAAGGCGACGAUGCGUAGCCGACCUGAGAGGGUGAUCGGCCACACUGGAACUGAGACACGGUCCAGACUCCUACGGGAGGCAGCAGUAGGGAAUCUUCCGCAAUGGGCGAAAGCCUGACGGAGCAACGCCGCGUGAGUGAUGAAGGUCUUCGGAUCGUAAUACUCUGUUAUUAGGGAAGAACAAAUGUGUAAGUAACUAUGCACGUCUUGACGGUACCUAAUCAGAAAGCCACGGCUAACUACGUG
RNAcentral lists this ribosomal RNA (497 nucleotides) under uncultured bacterium. Its description in RNAcentral is "partial 16S ribosomal RNA". It matches the Rfam family "Bacterial small subunit ribosomal RNA", at positions 28 to 507 of the family's 1533-position model. The record is from RNAcentral.